AGCCCCCUGGUGUAAUGGCAGCACACGAGCCUUUGGAGCUCAUGGUCCAGGUUCGAAUCCUGGGGGGGCUG
RNAcentral lists this transfer RNA (71 nucleotides) under Gemmatimonadota bacterium. RNAcentral describes it as "tRNA-Gln". It matches the Rfam family "tRNA". Rfam says of the family: Transfer RNA (tRNA) molecules are approximately 80 nucleotides in length. The record is from RNAcentral. Lineage: Bacteria; Pseudomonadati; Gemmatimonadota.